Molecule: long non-coding RNA, 636 nt
Organism: Vombatus ursinus (common wombat)
Lineage: Eukaryota; Metazoa; Chordata; Mammalia; Diprotodontia; Vombatidae
Exons: 3
Source: RefSeq, a predicted model, not a curated record
AUCUAAUAAGUGGGUAGAUGGGGGGGAAAUAUGUGUCUGGGAGACAGAAUACCAGGAACAUUUGGAAGGUGCAGAUUUCUGGAGAAAGACAACAAGGUAGUGUCCAGCAUAGCAGAGGAGGCAGGUAUACAGGAUUUGGGGUCAUGCGUCCUGGGCUUGAAUGUGGCCUCUGACCCUUCCUCAGCCCAUCCCAUAGGCUCAUCAGUUUGUCAGGGGAUCCUCAUUCCAAUCUAGGAGGGUCCUCGGAAUAGAUCAAGUCCACCUCCUGCUCCUCAAUUUACAAAGAAGGAAGUUGCAGCCCAGGGUGAAGUUCCUAAGGAAGAUGAAGCAGCAGGUAGAAGACCCAGAUGUCCAGGACAGGAAGGAGAUGGACUCUAUCAAUCAGGUUCCUGAAAGAGUCGCUUUGAACAGUUGCUGAUCUUCAUAAGGAGAAGAAAUUCCUCACUGGGAACUCCGUAGACUGAGGAAAUAACAGAUCAGGCCAAAAAGAAAAGAAUGUUCCUGGAACUGUGCUUGGUACCAGAGGAAGCAAAUACUAAUUAAAUAGUCCCUGACCACAAAGAGCUGACAGGCUACUAUGGGGAAACAAUGAGAAAUCAGAUAUAUAUUGUGUAUAUGAAAUAUAUGCAAAGAACA